Molecule: ribosomal RNA, 999 nt
Filed under: uncultured Omnitrophica bacterium
Lineage: Bacteria; Pseudomonadati; Candidatus Omnitrophota
Description: bacterial SSU rRNA
Rfam family: Bacterial small subunit ribosomal RNA
Source: RNAcentral
CAGCAGCCGCGGUAAUACGGAGGUGGCAAGCGUUACUCGGAAUUAUUGGGUGUAAAGGGCAAGUAGGCGGUUUAUUAAGUGAGGGGUGAAAUCUUCCGACUCAAUCGGAAAAUUGCCUUUCAAACUAAUAGACUUGAGACUGGAAGGGGGAAACGGAAUUAGCAGUGUAAGGGUGAAAUCUGUAGAUAUUGCUAAGAACACCAGCGGCGAAGGCGGUUUCCUGGUCCAAGUCUGACGCUAAAUUGCGAAAGCUAGGGGAGCAAACAGAAUUAGAUACUCUGGUAGUCCUAGCCGUAAACGAUGAGCACUAGGUGUUGGAACUUCGGUUUCAGUGCCGCAGCUAACGCAUUAAGUGCUCCACCUGGGGACUACGGCCGCAAGGCUAAAACUCAAAGGAAUUGACGGGGACCCGCACAAGCGGUGGAACAUGUGGUUUAAUUCGAUGCUACGCGAAGAACCUCACCAAGGCUUGACAUGCUCGUCAUAUCUCUCUGAAAGGAGAGAGUCAGUUAGGCUGGACGAUGCACAGGUGCUGCAUGGCUGUCGUCAGCUCGUGUCGUGAGAUGUUGGGUUAAGUCCCGCAACGAGCGCAACCAUUGCCCCAUGUUGCUACCUUCGACCUUUCAUUCAUGGAGAACGGAGCGCACUCUUGGGGGACUGCCUGGGAUAACCAGGAGGAAGGUGGAGAUGACGUCAAGUCAGUACGGCCCUUAUGCCUUGGGCUACACACGUGUUACAAUGGACGGUACAGAGGGUUGCCAACCCGUGAGGGGGAGCUAAUCUCAAAAAGCCGUCCCCAGUUCGGAUUGGAGUCUGCAACUCGACUCCAUGAAGCCGGAAUCGCUAGUAAUGGGAGAUCAGCUCGCUCCCGUGAAUACGUUCCCGGGUCUUGUACACACCGCCUGUCAAGCGAUGAAAGCCGGGGGUACCCGAAGUCCUAUGUAGAUAGGCCGAAGGUAAAAUCGGUGAUUGGCGCUAAGUCGUAACAAGGUAACCGUA